AACGAACGCUGGCGGCAUGCCUAACACAUGCAAGUCGAACGAGACCUUCGGGUCUAGUGGCGCACGGGUGCGUAACGCGUGGGAACCUGCCCUUAGGUUCGGAAUAACUCCCCGAAAGGGGUGCUAAUACCGGAUAAUGUCUUCGGACCAAAGAUUUAUCGCCUUUGAUGGGGCCGCGUUUGAUUUGCUUGUUGGUAGGGUAAAAGCCUACCAAGGCGACGGUCCAUAGCUGGGCUGAGAGGAUGAUCAGCCACACUGGGACUGAGACACGGCCCAGACUCCUACGGGAGGCAGCAGUGGGGAAUAUUGGACAAUGGGCGAAAGCCUGAUCCAGCAAUGCCGCGUGAGUGAUGAAGGCCUUAGGGUUGUAAAGCUCUUUUACCCGGGAUGAUAAUGACAGUACCGGGAGAAUAAGCUCCGGCUAACUCCGUG
Molecule: ribosomal RNA, 432 nt
Filed under: uncultured bacterium
Lineage: Bacteria
Description: partial 16S ribosomal RNA
Rfam family: Bacterial small subunit ribosomal RNA
Source: RNAcentral